AACAGCAAGGACCUGCAGCACAUCUGGCCCUUCAUGUAUGGGGACUACAUUGCCUAUGACUGCUGGCUGGGGAAGGUCUACGACUUGAAGAACCAGAUCAUCCUGAAGCUAUCCAACGGCGCCAGGUGCUCCAUGAACACGGAAGAUGGCGCCAAGCUCUACGACGUCUGCCCGCACGUCAGCGACUCGGUAGUGUGCUCCAUCCAGGCCGGCACCCUUCUCUGAUUGCUCAGUCCUCUGGAAGGAGGACUUCGUAGCAAAGAGCUUGUAGCUGGAGCCAGCUAAACAGAGCGGUUUCCUAGAAAAGGGGCGGGUGUGCGCCAGAGGGUCUGAAAGGUUGGGUAUAGGCAGAAAGUAUUAGAACUUUUUUUUUUUUUUUUUUUUUUUUUGAGACAGAGUCUCACUCUGUUGCCCAGGCUGGAGUGCAACGGUGCGAUCUCGGCUCACUGCAACCUCCACCUCCCGGGUUCAAGUGAUUCUUUGGCCUCAGCCUCCCGAGUAGCUGGGAUUACAGGCGUGUGCCACCACACCCAU
RNAcentral lists this small RNA (534 nucleotides) under Pan troglodytes (chimpanzee). RNAcentral's name for it is "retained intron". Lineage: Eukaryota; Metazoa; Chordata; Mammalia; Primates; Hominidae. The record is from RNAcentral.